UGCAGGAGCCAGAACUAGGGGCUGGAUAAUGGAGAAGCUUGCAUGCUAAACUUAUUACGAACUUUAUUUUGAAAGUAGUGGAACGUUAUUGGACCACUUCAAAAGCGGAGUGUUACGUUCAGGCUUGAAUUUUAGAAAUAUCUGUCUGGUAGCCAUGUGCAGGUUGGUUGGAAAGGGAGGCAUCAGACAGGAGACGAAUGAGAAAGCUGUUGCAGUCAUCUGGGACCCCUAUUUGUGACCAAUUGUAAGAUCAUCUGAAGAUCGAGUCCGAUUGCCUGGCCAGGCCGGGCUGGGUGGUAUGUGCCCCCGUCACGCCGGAGGUUCCUGCUUUAGCGACGCCAAAGAUUGGGUGUGAGGGCAGCCCGCGGUGACAGAGACACGGAUCGGACCGAGAGAAAAAGGCUGUGGGCUUCACUGAGCAGAGUGACGUCAAUUCACAGGACCUCCACAGUGUGCCUUUUGCUGGGUAGGAAAAUGCCAGCCAGCUUGGAAAACAAGAAGACACAUUUAUGUCUACCAUGAGCAUUGGCAUCAGCCAAUUAUCCCACACGUUUUCGGCUAGUCAGUGCUGAAGAGAGCAAGAAUUUCAACCCUUCUUGCUACAUUCAAGACAUAGAAAUCCAGCCAGAAGACAACUCGAGAUAUUUUGUGGAUCUAUGCCUUUCCUUCAGAAAAGCAAAUAUCUACCAUAAAAAAACACUGGUCCAAUAUUCACUUCUAUAAGAAAUGCAGGGGCAAAUAAAUUAUGGAUUUUAUUAUCGCUAAUAGAGUCACUUAACCAUUACUCCUUACUACAUUCUGCUUUUCUAACAAAAUUUCGACUGAAUAUUCUCCCUCAGAGCCUCCAAAAGGAACCAACUGAUGACAACUGAUUUUGGACUUCUGGCCUCCUGAACUAUAACAAAAUAAACAUCUGUUGU
This 920-nucleotide long non-coding RNA is filed under the name Homo sapiens (human). RNAcentral's name for it is "HSALNT0392471". The record is from RNAcentral. Lineage: Eukaryota; Metazoa; Chordata; Mammalia; Primates; Hominidae.